GGCUCCAUAUAGUGGUUAGCACAUCUGCUUUACACGCAGGAAGUACUGGGUUCAUGCCCCAGUUGGAGCCA
Molecule: transfer RNA, 71 nt
Filed under: Pteropus alecto (black flying fox)
Lineage: Eukaryota; Metazoa; Chordata; Mammalia; Chiroptera; Pteropodidae
Also listed under: 1 other name
Rfam family: tRNA
About the family: Transfer RNA (tRNA) molecules are approximately 80 nucleotides in length. Their secondary structure includes four short double-helical elements and three loops (D, anti-codon, and T loops).
Source: Rfam by way of RNAcentral